AAAGAAAAAAGAAAAGAAGGAAGGAAGGAAGGAAGGAAGGAAGGAAGGAAGGAAGGAAGGAAGGAAGAGAAAAUAUAAAUGAGAGUCUAAUAUAAGAGAAAGAUCUUGUACCAUCCCAUGCUUCCAAACAAGAGUCUUUGAAAUGUGGCUUUACCAUCUGGUAGACUCUACAAAGUGAAGACAGUGGCAUACGACAGUGUUAAAAUGUCUCAAACAGGAGAAUUAUAAAAGAGAACCCAGAGACUUUUGACCAAUUUCAUGUAAACUUCAGCAAGAAUAUCUUCUGCUGUUGAAAAUAUCUCUGGAACUGCUUUAGGACUUCAGUAGAAACUAAAUAUCUAACCAUUUGGAAAUUAUAUGACCAUGUUACUCAAGGUGCUCACCACAAGGUAAUGCUAAUUAAUCUAAUCAACAUUUCCAUAAUGUCAGUAAGUCCUAUAACACUGAAUCAAAAAUUAUAAAAAGGACAUGACUUGUAUAAGGUUUGAAAGCAUGAAUGUUUCAUGUGUGCAAGUUUGCUAUCUAAUAUGUAUACCCCUGAAAAGUGGUAUGCUUCAUGGUGAACUUACAUUGAUGACUCAAAUCCAUGAUAAAGAUGAUGAAAUUGAGAGGUCUUUUUAAUUACGGCUGGAUGAGUAUGCUGGAUACUUAUUCUAAAUUUGAUCUUCUUUCCUUCACAGUCGUGGUUUUACAGAGUGAUUGGAUGUCACUCUAGGAUGCGGUAUCUGUCCUGAUUUGGUGACCUGCAUUUGGCACUUUAUCUCCUGUAAUCAGUGCGUGGGUUAACAUUCUUAGUUUCAGACAAUAGAACUCUGCAGGUAUUUUGAUAAAAAGAUUAUUACAGUUUAUGAACAGGCAGUUUACAAAAUCAUUUAAGAGCUAGCGAAACCAGAUCCUACUAGCAACAACUUCCAGAAGCAUACUGAUCACUCAACUGGAAAGUCAGUAGCUGCCAUUGCUGCCACCAGACCCAGAUAUCACUGCUGUCACCCCAAUAACAAAAUUGAUUUUAUAUGUUCUGAAUGUUCCUCAUGUAUUAACUUCCAUAUUAUGGUAUUCUAGAGGUGAGAAAAGCUUUGAAAUAUAAUUUUAUUACUAUUUUGAUUCUAUAUGUGAAGAGUAGAAUUUAUACUAUGGUAAGCUAUCAAAAUACAGGAAUCUGAUUUUCAGAUUUUGUUUUCCAAAUGCCAUUUUCCAUUAAAAGGAUCUAGGUCUCCUUGAAGAAAUAGCUAAUGCUAGGGCCUGGAUAGGAAAUAUAUAAGAGUCUGGAACAUCUUGUAAUGCCAGAAAGUGAAGGAAGUACAAGGAGAAGGGAAGAAGAGGAAGGAAUGGGAGAACACAGGGAUCACCUGAAAGCACUCUCAAUAGACAAGCAGAAAAUAUUUGAGUAAAAAUUUAAAUAAUGUAGUAUUGGAUUAAAACUCAAAUUAUGAAAUAAACAUACGUGAAUCCAACAUGACACUGAAUAAAUAAAGAGAAAAUCUUUCUUAGAGAAAAGUUCUAAAUAUUAUGUGUCAUCACUUCACCCUUCUCAAGAGGAGGAGCUUAAUUCUCCUGUUCUUGAUUGUGGGUUGAACUUAAUAAUUUACUUACAAAUGAUAGAGUAUGCGAAAAGGAAAAUAGUAAAGUGAAGAAAGCUGGCAAACACUACUUUAAUCAAGUGAUCAAGGUUGGCAUCACCAGUAAUAAGUCAUAUUGAUAUCAUGAAGCAUCAUGAAAAAAAAACAUCAGACAAACCCAGUUGAGGGGAUAUUUUAAAUACUGACCAAUAUCCUUCAAACCUGUCAAAACUGUAAGAAACAAGUAAAGACUGAGAAACUGCAAUAGGACAGAAAAGGCUACAGAGACAUGAUGACUAAGUGUAAUACGGUAUCCUGGAUUGGAUUAUGGAACAGUAAAAUGAAAAUAGUAGGAAUCUUGGUAAAAUGUAUAGUUCAGCUGACAGUAAUGCACUAAUGAUAAUGUUCCAGUUUUGACAAAAGUUCCAUGAGUAUGUAAUAUGUUAACAUUGGGAGAAUCUGUUUGUAGGCUAUAAAGAACUCUGUAUAUCUUUCAAAUUUGCUUUAAAACUAAAAGAAUUUUAAAAGAAAUCUUUUUUUUUAACAUAGACAUGGUCUUCCAAAGAUUUUAUGCUGCCAUAGUAUUUCUUCAAUAUGAAGGAUACAAAGAAUAGAGAAUAUGGUUUGAAGGGAAAGUUUCCAGACACCAAAAGAAGCAGGUCAAUGCUGCGUGACCCUGAGCAAAGAACUCAACUUCUCUGUUUCUUAAUUCCUAGAUGUGUAAAUGGAGAUAAUAACACCUACCCCAAAGGUGUCGCAGAGGAAAGGCUACCUGAGGACACAGCAAGAAUGCAAUCAUCUGCAAGCAGGAAAGACAGCCCUCACAAGGAACCAGAUCAGUUGGCACCUUGAUCAUGGACUUUUAGACACCAUAACUGUGAAAAAACAAAUUUCUGUUGACUAAGGUCUGGUGCAAAAUUUCCACAUGGUUCAGAAUACUACUAGAUGUGAAUACUAAAGCCUUAAGUUAUCACACUAUUGGAUAAUAUUUAUGAGACUACCUAAAGUUUGUGAGAAGACAGCAAGUUAUGUCAAAUGUGGGAUUCCUAUCAAUUUUUAUCUAGCUACGGGACACUUUACAAGCCAUUUGCCGAGCUUGCACAUUUGAAGCAGCAUCUCAUUAGGUAAACUGCCAGUACUAAUAUUCUCUAUUUAUUUGUUAUAAGCAUUUGCAUCAGUAGUAGAUAGUAACUCAUUUUGAUUUUUGUGUUUAAAGGUUUGGCAGAUGAAAUAAAAUGAACAAGGAGGGUAUCAGACAUAAAAUUUAGUAUUUAUCAUAAACUCAGAAAAUCUUGAAUAUCAUGUUGGCAACUUUGAGACUUUUAUUAACUUAUGACACAAUUAUGACAUUGCUCUUCAAAUGUUCUGUCUUUUAAGAUAUAACUUAGACGUGAUUGGAAGUUAAAAAUAUUCUCCCUUUGAAAUUCAAGUUGACCUGAAAGAAACCAAAAACAUUUUCCAUAUACCUUGCCUCCCAUUACAUUUGCCCCAUUUCUGUAUAAUUUUUAGUUAAAGUUAUGCAAGAGAAUCAGAUCGAAUUUAAAAUAAUAGAUAACUAUGUCUUUAUGCAAAAUCACUUUUGUGUUACAGUAGUUAUAUGUAAUUCGAAUCUUGUUCUUUGCUUAGAUAUGAAAUAAUUGAAAUUGUAGAUAAUGGGAAGAAUUUCUUAUGAGUUCCUUUUACAUAUGUUUAAUUGAUAUAUGAGUCUAAACCUAAAACACUCCAUGAAGUAAUGAGAUGAUUUUCCACUCAUUUUUAACGAUCAUACUUUUCCUUUUCCAAAAUAGAAUUCAAAGGUCUGCAAUAAUACUGUAUGCUAAUUAACUGAAAUUAUUUUUUUUUAAUUUUAAAAAUAAAAAAAUUAAAAGGUUUUUGAAAAUUGAACAAAACAUUUAGUGUUCCUUAAAAUGAAUGUAUCAGAGGGUGCCUGGGUAGCUCAGUCAGUUAAGGUUCCAACUUUGGCUCAGGUCAUGAUCUUAUGAUUCAUGAGUUCAAGCCCAAUAUUGGGCUCUCUGCUGUCAGGAGACAU
Long non-coding RNA from Felis catus (domestic cat), 3588 nucleotides. RefSeq lists it as uncharacterized. The record is from RefSeq and is a predicted model, not a curated record. The transcript is spliced from 6 exons. NCBI's taxonomy places the organism in Eukaryota, Metazoa, Chordata, Mammalia, Carnivora, Felidae.